UAUCAAUGGUGAUUGAAAAAACAAGCCAGAGUUUAUUGCGAGGACUCACCAGAAAAAGUGGCUCUGGAGAGAGGGACGCCAAGCCAGUUCUUCCUGCUUCCAAUGCUGCGUUUUUGAGAGUCAUGAGUUGCUGGAAGUGGGUGCAGUUCAGCCCCGCUGUGACGAUGCCCGCCUUGUCCUGAGGGCUGGCUGGAGUAUUUUCCUUGCUCUCAGUUAGCGGUGUCCACUUGUGUCAGUGGCAGAGGCACCAGUGUUACAUCGUUACCCUGCCAUCUACCCUGGGUUCUACUUCAACAGAGGGUGAAUUGCUGGCCUGGGGUCUUGUCCCAAACAAAGAAUUCAGCAGGACAUCCAAGAGGUACAGUAGGAUCAAUGCUUUAUUUGAAAGAGAAAGGACAGGAUUCAGGUUGGGAGCAGGCGAAGGAGGGGAGCUCAAACUGGGGUGAGGUCAAGGAGUUCUGCCUGGAAUGUGCCCUCACCUGCCUGUGUCCCCCCCAAGCCUAAUGUAUGGAAAAGACCCAGGGACAGAAGAAACUGAGUGAACUGAGAAAGAGGCCAGAACACUGGGAGCCUGGGGGUGUAAAUUGGGGGAAGGGCGGGGGGAGAGGGGGAGAACAGGGGGGACAAAGAGGGGAGCAGAGGCUGGAAGGGGUGGUGCCUUGUGUAUGAUGAUGGGGGGGGGGGCGUGGAUUUUAUCCCAAAUAACAGGAAGCGAUUCAAAGGAGAUAAAUAGGCAGUACUGGGAUCCUGGGUGGGCCAAAAACAUCAGGGUUAGAAUGGAAUUGAUCAUGUCUUUUGAGGUACACAUUUGGUCCCAAAAUAACUUUCCAAUUUCUCGAUACUCUCUAACAGCAGAUGGUCUUCUCUACACCCCCCUCCCUAACUCUCUGCCACAUUCUUGGCUCUUGGGUGCUCCCCAAACAAAGGUUCUCUCUGCAGCUUCGUCCUUAUCUAAGUCAUCCUGGUAACUCAGUUAAGUCCUUCUCUCCUUCAUAACCAGUGCACCUCAGCUCUCCUGUGGAUCCUUCUUUAACAGAUCACGGAAGUACUCAGCACUCCAGGCAGAUGAGAAGGGAAAAAGAGCUCUUUUUCCAAGAUUCCCAGCUCUAGGCUUGCUUUCUAACCAACUCGAGUUUUCUCUCACACCAAGCAAUCAUUGGAGGGCCAUGAAAUCCUACCCCUGCCUGUGCAGUCCUGGCUCAUCCUUCAGGAUGGACCUCAGCGUUACCCCACGCAGGAGCCCUCUGCCCCCAGGAAGAGGCUUCGAUCCAUCCCUUCUGGGCAGUGUCCUACACUGUCAAAUGGAAAAGAAACAGAGCCAACCAACCAAGUUUUGCCUGCUUAAAUACACAUUUCUGAACCUACCCUAACAUUUCAGAAGGCAGGGAACAUGCUGGGUCAUUCUCCCCGUAUUCCUCUCCCCUGAACACCACACCCUGUAAAUAGUCAGUAAAUACAGGUUGAAUGGCUUUGCUGGGUCUGAGGCCUCAUGCUCACUGGUGUAUCCCUGACUUCCUGGAAGAUAAAAGGCUUCCACCUUGUUCUCGAGUUUCCUCCUGCCCUGCGGUCAGAGUGACUGUCCCCAAACUUACUUCUGUGGCUUUUCCUUGCUGAGAGCAAGCCUGGUUCCUGGUGGCCUAUGUGAUAAAACCUGUGCUCCUCAGCCCAGCCUCCCCACCAUCUCCAGCUGCUUAAGUUUUGUACUGCUGUGUAACAGAUGCCAUGAACUUAGUGACUUAAACGACUCCCAUCUACACUCUCAGUUUCUGUGAGUCAGAAGUUGGGGCACAGAAGAGCUUGGUUCUCUGCUAGCUGUGGGCAGAACACCAGUCAGGCCUGUGAUCUCCUCAGGGGAUCAAUGGGAAGGAGCCCCUGGAUUCACAGGGAUUGCUAGCAGAAUCUCUUUCCAAGCAUUGCAAGUCUGAGACUAGCCUGGGCUCCUAGAAACUCCCUGCAAUUUCCCUGACAGUGGAGGUGAGAGAAAGGGAGACCCAAGGACUGGUCCUUCCAAAGCCUUGUGUACCAGAGUGGCUUGUGAAGUGACUUUUGCCAUGUUCCUUUGGUUAGGGCUGGCCAUAGGUGCUCACAUUCCCAAAGGGAGAGGACUAUGCAAUGGCACAGACAUGGGGAGGUGGGACCUAAGGUCGGCUGGCCACAGGUUUAUCUUCUGCUGGCUUCCAGUCUUUUGAGCUCUGUGACCAUGUCUCCCAACAUCUCUGAGGGCACAGCGGCCUCCGAUUCCGAUUACAGCACAGUCUUCCAUUACUUUAUCUCUGGCAGUAAUGCUCCCUCAGUGUUCCCCUGCCUUACUUGCACAUAGACACCACUUUGUCUGACAGGCCUGAGCAUACUAGUGUUUGUGGAUGUUGAGGAUCUAGAAGAGGAUUUCCCUUACAUUAUUCCUCCAGCAAGUCUUUGGGUCUCUUUGGGACACAAGUACCCCGCCUUUUAAAGGUUAUUUCUGAAUGACUAGGAUACUCUAGGAAAGGGUGAAGGUGAAAACUAGAAGGACUUAUGUGUGUGAUGGGGGAAAGAACUAGAAAGAAGAAAGUGGAGCAACACAAAGAACCUGAACUAAGAUUUUUCUUUGGCUGAAAUUGGCUGGGAGAAGAAAACACUUCCUCCUCUAAGAGAGGGAGUAAUCAGUGAUAGGGUUGGGUAAGAGAAUUUGGGGGUUCAUCCAGAAUAAGUGGUAAGCAUGAGAGGCAAGUGUUCCUGGAUAUCAGCCCAUGAAGGAUGAAUAUACGGGUUCCAGUUUGAGGAAAGAUUAUGCAUGUGGCACACCCAGCCGAUUUCAUCUGCUUGUCACCAAUGUGAUUAAUACUUGCAGCAACACACACACAGAGUUAUGGUUUGUGUCUAGAUGUUCCCCUAAAGGCUCGUGCAGUCAUACAUGGGGCUUUUCACAGGUGGCUGGAUCUAGAAUGUGAUGCUAGGAUUGAUUCAUGGUGUGAGUGCUACUCACCCUAAGUAGCCUGGAUAAGACAUAAUGGAAGGAAAGAGCUGUGGUCGCCACCUGCUUGCUUUGCUACCUUCUGCCCACCAUGAACUGUUUCUCUUCUGCGAUGCCUGUCUGCUGUGCCACCCUGCCUUGGAGCCAUCUGAUAGACUGAAACCUCUACAAACUUAGCUAAAUGAACCUUUCUCCCCUUAACUUGUGAGUGUUGGGCAUUUUUUGUCCCAGCAAUGAGAAAAAUAACUAAGGCACCCACCCACCUUCUUAUUAAUGAAGCCCGUAUGCCUUAUACAAGAAACAGAUUACAAAACUCUGGAAAUCUUUUACUAAGACAUUUCCUGUCCCUGAGCCUGUCACUGCAUCCCUUCCACCCACCACUUUUUUCUUCACUUUGCCUUUCUCUUUCUCCUCCUCUUGCUUUCUUGUUCCUUCCUGCAUCCUUUUUGUUCCCAUUCGCAUCCUGAAGGCUUUGCCCUGCCUUGGUUUUGCAAUGAGCAACUGCUGCGGAUUUUGAAGAAACAAGUGGACUCUGUACCACGGGAAGCUCUGUUUUGGGAAAAACAUCUUUGUUGAGACAAUGACUCAGAAGUCUCCAGCCAGGUAUGAUACAGCACCUCACAGUAGGGCUUACUUUGGGUCCCCAACCAAUCGUACAUGUUUACACAUGUAGAAUUGUAGGAUGCCAGAAACUCACAGGCCAUCUAAUUCAAAAUGUUCAUUUCACAAGAGAAACUGAGGUCAUAAAGGAAAAUAGAUUUGACUAAACUCAUAUGAAACUGGAGAUUUCCUACCUUAGAGUCUGUCGAUAUGAGCAAAUUUGGGAUCUAUAUGUCAAUAGUCCAGAAGAAAUUCACUCAAACACACAAAGGUGGGCAAGGGUGAGUAGAUAUGUAUGCAGCAGUGACAGCCAAAUAUGGUACACAGAGUUCACACACUGCUCUCUAGCUCUUUUUUGCUGGCUUCAGCUCCUACGAUCUAAGAGUGGGGUAGCUAUGUCCUCCACUAAUCCCCCCACCAGUAACCAUGUAGCUAUAUUGGAGUCAGACUGGAGGGAAUCGGGGCUGCUCACAAUGGGCUUUUCUCAGUUCUAAUCAGGCACCUGGGGUAGGAAUGUUCAGCAGAAUAUAGUAGAGUCAUCCAGCAUGACCCAUUUUCCUAGGGAGCACAUAGCUGGGAAAGAGACGUCCCAAUAAUCUAGUCCUGCCACUGGCUUUUCUCUGUACGGCCUUGGGAAGGCCCCUUCCCAUCUUUGGACCUCUGCUUCAGCAUCUUGUGUGAAUGAUAGCCAGGGAGUUAUGAGGAGUGAAUGCAGAAAUGGAUGGACAGGCACAUGAUAUGGCCAAGUGUGAUAACAUAAGGGAUUGGAGAUCUUAUUGCUAUUUAUUCAAUUUCAUUGCUGAGGGAAUGGAGUCUGUUUUCUGCAAAGGUUCGAGGCCUCCUGGCCCACUGUCCCUGAGAGGCACCCCCUGCUGCUUCCCCUACACAGGGGCUUUUCUGACAGCCCUUCAAAGUCCCCAUGCUGCUGCCCACCCUGUCACUUCUCCAUCCUGUUGGUUUUAUUUUUAUCUUUAGUGCUCAUCACACUCCAUUAGCUGUUUGUUUAUGUCUUUCUCCCCACCCGAAUAUAAGACCUAGGAGGCCAGGGACUGGCAGUUUUAUUAACCCGAGUCUUGGGGCCCAGAAUACAUUGAACAGGCAUAAUGUGCCAGGCUCUAUCAAUGUUUGCUGAGGAGUGAAAAAGACAGGCGACACCCUGAGGGUCGUCUUGGAUGCAAACAGAUGCAGCAUCCAGACUACUGGGAGGUGUGGCAGUCAUGGGAGGACAGGGAGAGACUCCAGGGUGGUGGUGAUGCUUGGGUGAUCCACAAAUUCAGAUUUGUGGUCUGAGUGGUUGGCUUGAAUGCCACAGAUCUUUGAGCCUUCCAACACUCUGGGGACUUUUUAUCUGUAAACCUCCAGGGAUAUCAAAGGGCAGGAGCGUUAGGAAUCAGCAGUUCACAGAGCAGGGCUGCAGCUGCCGGCACCUACCUGAGUGUGGGCUGUGGUGACACUGAGGGGGUCUGCCUCUGCUACUGUGACCAGCAGGUGGUGGUGGGGAGGUGAGCAGUCAAGAGGGGAGACAGGUGGGCCCACGGCACCUAGGGGAGACCCCGAGACUGGUCCUGCCGUCAUCCUCAAUGUGAACCCAUCCUUGCUAUAUGGGGAUGUCUUCUGGGAUCUGCCCAUUGGGCUGUGUGGGUGGCCUGGGUUCAAGAACUACACAUGGUGCUGCACAUGCCCACUGGGACACCCCUCCCACCAGGAACCUGUUUGGAAAUGGAGGUGAGGGCAGAGCUCUCAAGGGACCCUGCCAUAAGGGACCUCAGCAUACCGGGUGGGAACACUCACGUCACAGAGCCAGGUUCAAGGGUCUUGAUUGUGCUGUGCACAAGGGCAUUAUCGGACUACGCGUGUCACUCACGAUGGGCUGGUUGGUCGGGUUGUGAUGGCCUGUGUGUCACAUAACAUUGCACGUGCAAUAUUAUAUCUGUCUGGGAGCUCACAUGGCUGUGUGUGAGGAGAGGGCCCAGGCAGAGGGGAUCCAGGAGGGCAGGACCAGGUGUCCAGUGGGUGAUGCUGUGGUGCUCACAGAGCUCGCCUCCCUCCCAAGUUUCAGCACAUGUGGCCGCUGCAGUGCUCUCUGCAAAGAGCCAAGUGGCACUUGGCUGCUCUCCCUGGUGGCCUUCUGUGGAUACCUCCGCCACAGCCCCUGGGCAGCUGACAUGUUUCCAUCUCUGUUCCUCGGUUCUGCAUCCACAGUCCACAUGCCCCACCCCUGGCUGUCAACUCCAUUCUCUCAUCUGAGGCAGGGUGACCAGGUCGAUGCUGGGUUGGGUGGGAAGCUAUGGGGUGGACCGGGCUGGUCCAGGGUGUCUGAGUGCCCCAGAUGGGGACCCUAUCUUGGGGAAGAGCCACGUUCUAUCCCCAGGCUCCUAGUCCCCAGCAGGCCUGGAGUGAAUUUUUGACCUCUGCUGUCUCUGCCUAGGGCAGGGCCCGUCUUGGAAUCUUUUAAAGUUUUCUGUGAUGUCCUGGGUGCUGCUUUUCUCCACGAUGCUUCGUUCCUCCAGCCAAGUCACACUGUGCUGUGGCCACAGGAGAUGAAUUAUCUGACACAGGCAUUUGCAAAUGACAGAUCAAACUUGAACCUUCAGGCAGGGGUCGAUGGCAGAAGCUCCCAGGCCUCUGACCCCAAAACACGACCCCUGGCCCCAGCAUCGGCUCCACCCCUUCUGGGCUUGCAGAGCGGCUCUAAUCUCCUCGAUUGUCAGUCUUCCCAGCAGAAUUGAGUGAGGGGUAACUGGGAGCCCCCCUGGCUUCUGUUUCCUAGGACGACCAAUUGUGAGUUCGGGUUGAAGGGCAUUGGAGGAGCCCGUGACCCCACAAGUCAUGGUCAAUCGCUUUGCCCGCGUGUGAGGGACUGCACACCACUGUUUGCUUUUGAAACACACUUGCACUGGUCCACGCCCGUGUGUGCAGUAGUCUCAGAGCUGGCCCAGGGAGUUUUUCUUGGCACAAUCGCAGAUCUGUCUCUGUUUUAGACCCAGGCCACAAAACAAUGGUUCUCAGAGACAGCAAAGAGGAAACUGGGCAACUGUGACCAGAUCCUCUGCCACCCGCUGCUGCCUUCCCAUUCCCUCCACUCCAGGGUGCAGACAGCCUCUCUGCCCCUUCUCCAUCCGGGCAGACCCCGUGACACCAGAUAAGGAGAAUUUUAGAAAUGUCAGACAACUGUGAUCUGUUUUAUUCUGAAUUUAUUUUUUAGCUCAGAGGAACUGUGAACUUGUAUAAGGACUUUUCAAACCCUAUAGGUUCUCAGGCUGUGGCCGCCGAGGGGCUGGGCUUAAAGGGCACCAUAACUCCUGUCUCUACUCCCAAGCUGGUGGGUCAGUUAUUUCGUUGAUUUGUGGUCCAUUUCCAAAACUGCUCCAAGAUAGAAAUCAAAUCCUGACAUCACAUUCCAAAACCUUCAGCUGCUCGCAGCUACCUGCAGGACUGAAUUCCAAAGAGUUAGACAAGCUCCUAAGUACUGUACAGUUGUUUAGGUGGUACACUGCAUAAUGCUACAGCUUAUCAUUCUCUGUAAAACCACACCGAGGCCGUGUAAUAAGCAGUGUUCAAGGUGCUUCACCGUGUGAGUCCAAACCUCUCUUCACAGUGGGUCCCUAGCUGAAGCUACACCAGUAGCUUUAGUCUGUCUAGUCUCACUGCAUCUUACAAUUUCUACACCUGGGUGUUUGCACAACCUCUUCCCUUAGAACAAGGAGCACUGGCUCCUCGCCUGCCUGGUUGCGUCUUCCCAGUCCUGCAAAUGCUGCCCUCAGCUCUGCCUUCUCCUUGGUGCUUCCGGGUCCACACACCUAGAAGCCGUCGGAGCCCUGGUUGCAGAGGACCCAGAAACCCACUGCGCACCACAGGAGUUUUAGUUCUCUUGCCUCGCACUUGGUGGAGUUGCCAUCCAGAGCGCGCACUCAGGCGACGGAGCCCGAGUGUAAUGUCCCCCGUGUUUCCUCCACCAGCGACACAGAGCUGCACCCCUGAGCGGCUUCCCCUUGCCUGCCGGCUGGUUCCAGCGGCUUCGUAAAAGCUUCUCUCCCCACUCCCCACCCCCUCUUGCUAUUUUAUUCCAGUUCCUGGAAUUUCAUAAUAACAGAGAUGCUUCCAGAAAGCUGACACAGGCCAUUUCCCCUAAACAAACGCAUGUUUUCAUAUGACAUGCUGCGGAGCUUGCUAUAAAAAUUCUGUGUUCCAGUUCCAUCGGACACAUUCCAAAAAAUAAUAAUAAUGACAAGAAAACAAUCACUUCUUUAGCGCUUUUACAUACGGGCGAAAUCCAUACAUCAUUUUAUUUUAUCCUCAGCUUGUCAAGGAGGGAGAUAUUUAUAUUUCCCCGGUUGAACAAUGAGUAAAGAAAGGCUCAAAUAAAUAAAGCAACCUGUGUCCGAUCGCCAGUGAGUGGAGUUGAACCAAGGCCUCCGGCAUUUCCAGGGUGUUAUCCAGGGCUGACAUAGGGGUUUGUGCGGCUGGGAAGGCACUGGGGUUUUGGGGAAGACCCUGAGGUGGCCAGAGACCUCAGUACCCAGAGUGCAUUGCCAGAAACAACUUAAUAAUAAGCCUUAUUAUCUUGAAAACUAAGUAAUUGGACGGGAUCCCUUCCUAUUCUAAGAAUUUGUGCAAUUAUACAAAAGUGAAGACAUGGCCCUUGCUUUCAGGAAUUUAAGAUCUUUUUGAGAGUGGGGGGCAUUAACUUUAGGGGAGAAGAGCUGGUGAGGAGAGAGAGGGCAGCCAGGUCAGUGGGCUGGAGGCCAAGGGCACUGGGGGCAGCUCUCUACAAGCAGGGCGGGCUGCGUUGCCCAGCAGGAGAAGCCCUUCCUGGAAGGAUGAUGAACCUGACCUUCCCAAAAGGACCUCAGAGGCCUGCCGGUCAGUGGCAUAAGUCACAACCCUCAGGAUGUUUAUCAGCUGGGCCAUUGUGACCCUUCAGCAAGAUGUUUCUUGAGCAAACUUUUUUUUGGAAUUUUGGUGGGCUCUGACCUGUAGUUUUCACUUCCAAAAUAACUUGACUUUUUUAAAGUGGUAAUUUCACUUCAUGAUAAUACUAAACUGAAGCCACAUGAACUCUAAUUGGAAGCAGGUCUUGGGCUGCAGGGUUGCCAAGAAGCGGUAAGAAACAUGCUUAUUCUACUACUUUGCUUGAGGCACUCAGCAUUUUUGAAUGCCUGGGCAGAAAUAUAGUUUUUUUAAAUAAAGCCAAUCCCUGGGAGAAGAGGGGGCGACGGGGGAGGGAGAGAGGCAGGGGUGGAGGUGGUUAGAAAAGGGAGAAGGGGUUUUUUUCAGUCCAAAGAGAGGAAAAUCACACUCUGUUUUCGUGUAUCAGUUUUGAUGCUGGUCCCUGCCGCCUUUGGAAUUAGUGAAGUCGGGGUGCUCUUCCUGGAUGUCUGGGGCUCAUGGGGCUGAUGUUCUUUCAACUUUUCAGUGGGUACUCGAACUCCUUCUGCCAGCACAGGCUGGGGCUGACCUCACCAGGGCAGCAGGGUGUUAUUCCUUCUCCCAUUUUCCUUCCCACAUCACUCCCUUGUCCUAUUAAUUGUAUCCUGAUGAUCACUCCCUUGUCCUAUUAAUUGCAUCCUGAUGAGCAAGGCAUUCAGUCCUCCGGUGGCUGCUGGAGAUUGCUUUAAUAAGUCUCUCUUGGAGGAGGCGAGACAGCAGUUUUGCCUUUUUUUUCUUUUUAGAAAAACAGCACACUGUCCCAGGGAAGGCCUCCGAAAACAUUGACAUAAAGGAAAUCUUUAAAAAUUGCUUUCCAGAAAAGAAACAAAACAAAUCCCUUCUCUGAAAACAAAAGUUAUAUAACAGAGUAAUUGCACAGCACAGCUUUCUGCUGGAAGCCCAGGCUGUUUGGGGGAUGCAGUUGGGAGCUGAGUAAUCACACGAUGGGGAGAGGUCUCCCUGCCCGCUGGCCUCAGUUUCCUUAAGACACCGUUUCAAAGAAAUGUGUGGGACUGGACUCCCCCGAUUCUGUGGUUCUGACCCACCCUGUCAAGUCACCUCCCAGUGCUGCUAACCCUGUGUGCUCCAGCCCCGUGGUGUCUGUGCCCUGUGGGGCUGGAUGUCCCUUCUCACUUGGUUUUGUUGUGUCUAGUGCUGGGCUUUGGGGCGGUUGUGGAAGGACACUGGGCAGGAUUCUGAUUUUCCCUUUCCCACUUUGCACACACAGAAAGGGGUAGGUAAGGGGUACAUGGAGAAAAAUAGAGUUCUAGAUUUCAGCUUUGACUGUUGGCUAUAAAAAGCCCACAGCACUGGGGCUGGGAAAGGAGAGCCUGGAGCUUGGGUUGCAAGAGAAAGUCCCGAGGGGAAAUGUUUGGAAAUUCAACCACAGUGCCUCAAGAUAGAUGUGACUCAGUGACUUCCCACAGCAGGGAGCUCAAAGAGCACAUCGUGUCCCUCAGUGCCUGCCCAUAGAUUUCCCUAUGGUAGGCCUUGAGGUUUGCAAUGGAGACCCCACUGUGGUCUCCAGGGACUACACAGGUGUCAUAGGUCCCAUGGGGACAUGUGCUUUCUCUUGAUGUCUCCAAGGACCACGGGGCCCAAAAGCCCUGAGAAGCAAAACAUCUGGUCCACUUCAGCAAUUUUUUCACACGUUCAGCCAGUCAUCUGGAUGCUUUGUCUAUGCAGUGCCAAACAGCUGGGCCACUAGAUGUUUUGGCCCUGUGUAGACAGGAAUUCAACUUUUUAAUAGCUGUUUCUUUUCUCUUCUGAGGUUCUUUUUACCAGCCUUCCAGUACAAUGGAGAAGAGAGAUAUAAAGAUUUUUUUUUCCUUUUUGGUUGAUGGACUUAAUAGAAUUGUGUUUGUGUAAUCAUUGAAAAGUGGACAAUGUUGCUGAUUACUUUUCUUAGGGUAUUCUUAUAACCUUAAAUUAUCAGUUUGAUUACUUUUCUGGUGGCAUCCACAUAAUUCUAAAUCAGUGGCUGGACUACUUUGCUUUUUCACAGGUAGACCAAAUCAACCAAAAUAAUAUGGUGUGUUCAUCGUAAAUGUUCCAAAUUCAUUUCGAAAGAAUUAGAAUUUUAAUGCACUUUGCAAAAGCUUAACACAAUUGGAUGGCUCUUGAAAAUAAUUUAUGAAGAUUACAUUAUCUCUGGACUUUUAUUCUUUUAAGAUUGUAAGAUCCUGUGAUGUGAUUUUUGAAAACUUUAAUAAUCAGUGGUAACAAUAGCAGCAAGAUAGUAAAUUCUAAGGGUUUUUAUGUCAUUUAUCUUUCUCCAUUCUAGACUGUCAUUAAAUAAUGAUGUAUUGAUUUACACCUUGAAAACUAGUGUUUCCAAACAUUAUCAAACUAGAAAGACCCUUCCUUCUCCCCCAGAUUGUGGGAAAUAUUAACUUGCUCCUUUUCUUUGUGCUAAGUUGCUGCCAUCGUGGGGGAGGAGGGAACAUAGCAUCAGAGGACAACGAGGAGUGCCAACUCUCAGCCAGUCCCCUCCUCGGUGACAGGCCCAGGGGAAGGAAGGGAGGGUUGAAGAGAGAGGGUGGGUCUAGCCAGGAGAUCUAUGAGCCAGGAUGCUUCCUCUAAGUCGGAAACAGCAAUCACAGAACCAAAAGCAGGAGUUAAGCUUGUGAGAGCAGAGCCAGGGUGUGAUCAGCAGGUUGAGAGUGGUCGAGAGCCGGUCUUUGGCAAAGAUCUGCAAUCAUUUGAAGCCAAGGCAGCAGAGGGGGUUCAGACUGCUUUCAUGUGCUUGACAUGUUUCGUGGGAGGCCAGAAUAUUUAAAGUGCCAGAAAAUGUACAACCUUUAACUCAGGGCAAAGUGUCUUCCUUCCCUGUCCAUGAUUCUGUGUAACAAAUGAUGCUCACAAUGCCCGUGAGGAUUUCCCAUUGGUAAAAGCAGAUAUUCAGUCAUCUCUGAAGGUCAUUUGUCCUCGGUUCCAUGACCAAAUGAUGCCCUUACUGUAGAAUUGAAGGUUUCAAAGGAUAAGAUCUAGGACUUUGGGCUCUCUUAUUCAUCCCAUUUUUGGACAUUUCUCAAAGAGGGCAUAAACUGGCUCAAAUUUGGGAACUGGUUGAGGGGUCAUAAUUCCUUGUUACCAUGACUUGAAGUAGGUUUGUGUUCAUUUGCCCUUUAAUUUUUUCAAUUAUAUAAAUCUAGUAAAUUGGGAACACAUGGUUGAUCAGCCAAUGCCAUACGUCUAGACGUGUCAGACCAUUCUGGACAUCGUUCUGCUUCUGUUGUCUAUUGCUGCCUUCGGUGAUUAAGUGCUGCCACUUGGCCCUCUCUCACUCCAGGAUCCAGUCAAGCCAUUGCCCUUAAAUGUCCCAAUUGAGUAACCUCGGUCCCCACUGUAAGGCCUGGCACGCAGAGAAGAGCAAUGACAGGGCUCUUCAGGGGUGCCAGUGCUCUCCUCACAAAUCUGUUUCUCAAGAUCAUUCUCAUUUCCCUGAGCCUCUGGAAUCCCCUCAUCAACAGAAAACCAUGGCAUAUCGGGCAUCUCUAACUCAUUCACAGUGGGCCACCUUUUGAUCUAUAUUUCCGCCAGCAAGCCAAAUACACUACUAACACCUUUCUUUACUCCACGAGCCACAAGAUUAAAUUCAGGAUCCCUGCUUGACCGGGCCAUAUCAACAAACUCAGCCUGGUCCAAGUGUAUAGUUUUGCCACCAUUAUCCUACACCUGUAACUUGUUCAGGAGGCCUCUGGUUAUAAGAGUUAGAAAACUCAAGAAGUUCUUUGGGAGAACAGCAGACAUCCUCCCUCAUGGGUCACACUAUGGACCUCACCCUUAGGACCCUUCUGACUUGAGCCUGAUUACAGGACUAGAGGCAAACGUGGGUGGCGAAGGUGGGUUCUGAGGAGCGUUGGCAUUAUCAUGCUUGGUCAACACAGGCUUAGUGUCCUCAGGUAUACUAGGAGAGGCCAGCACCACAAGGGGUAGGGGUGCCUCCACCACUGUCAGUGGGUAAAUCUUUUUCUCUUGCAAAAUAAUCUCAUUAGCCUCUAGAAACACAACAUCCUCAGCUUCAUCAGGAUUCCUCUCAAACAUCUCUGGGUCUCAUUUUAUGGGAUCCCAUUAUUUUCCAAUCAGUGCCCUCACCUUUGCUUCAGAUGCCCUUUGAAGCUGAGCAUUAAACUUACACUGCAGUUCAGCCAAUUGAAUUAUGAGGGCCUGUGUUUGAGUUUCUGGAAUCUCAGCCCUGCAGCUAAAAAAGAGAGGGGAUUUUCUUUCAGGACACGAUUAGAAACUUUUAAAUUCCCAGCGUCAGACACAUAAGAAAUUUAAAUCUUUGGACUCCUUUAUUUUUAAUUUGUCCCAGUCAAAAGAAUUUAGAUUUCCUAUGGAUGUUUUGAAGUCACUGCUUUCCUUCACUAGUUUGUCCAGAGAUGGUAAGACCAACCAGCCAGCAUCAUUAUGUUUCCCACUCUGCCAAAAAUGGAGUUGCUAAAAGUGGUAAUCAAAUCCUACUCAAAUCAGGAUAAUCCAAUGGAACUUCACUGCAUAUUACUUUAAACAGUUUACAUCAAGGACUGUCAGUGUUCCCCAUAGAAUUAGGAGACCAUGGCGUCUUUAGGUGUCAUCAAAUUAGAGCACCAACUCCAGGAACCCCUAAAGCCAUUAAAGAAUUUCAUCUUUACAAUUCUGUUUUUCUAGUGCCACUCCCAGUACCAAAAUUUGUAUCAGUCAGUGUUUACUAGUGAAACAGAUAUAACACAAGAUAUACAAAUAUUUAAGAAUUUGCAAGAUCGGCUUACAAUGACCACCCACAGAGUCGGAUGUGGAAGAGUGCAGGGGGUCUGUCUGCACACUGGAGACCGAAGGAUUCAGUCGAAGGUCUGGAGCUCACUGCAGUGUUCUGUGUGAGUCUGAAUCCGGAGGUCGAUGGGUCUGCAGUGGAAGGCUGAAGGCUCUGCACCAGAAGCUGAAGAAUCAGCACUGGAAGCCAGGAGAUGAUGUCCAAGGUGAAGGUGAAGACUAGAGCUCCUCUGAAGAAACAGAAGCAGAUCCAUCCUUUUUCAUUUGCCCUUUACACCAUCCAGGCAACAAGUCACCCAAGGUUGGGUCUUCCAACCUUAGGGUGUGGAAUUGCUAAGGCAAGUUGAGCUUCUUAUAUCACAGUGCCCCUUCCUGGUCUCUCUCCAUUGGUGUGAUAGAAUGAUGGUGAAUAGUUGGCUGUGCUGUGUUAACCCUGAUGAUGUGAGGAACCAUCAGUGCCUGCUCCCUGCAUUCCACAUCCAACUUCUCCUAAGGGCUAAGCAUUGGCAAUAAUAUAAGGUGGGGAGGAGAAGCUGCGUCUUUGGAGCCAUUGCAUCAUAAGUUCCUCUAUGAAGGAACUGUGUCCUCUGGUUAUCUCCACCAUUAUGCUACAGAACACUGCCAGGCAUUCAGCAGGUGUCUGAUUUUUCUCACAUGUUCUGGGGCCUUAGGAUACUUUGCCAUGGUCCUAGACAUCCCUGUGUGGUAGUCAAGCAGAUUUGUCUUUGUGUCUCUUUUGCCCUCUUUGUGUUUUUCUUCUUCCUCUGGAUCAUUUCUGAGUAGAUGAGCUGGGAUCAGUCUAAUCACAAGUUGAGUAGUGUUCUAGUUAUAUAUUAUUUAUACACGUUUCGAUAAAUUUCCAUUAUGGAUAACAUCCUCUAUGCAUUCAGUGAACUUUCUUAGUGACAGCUUUUUUCUUAUGCAACAUACCCUGGAACGUGGAGCACUGAACUUGCAGUUUUGUCAUGCAAUAAAAGGAGUCAGAAAAUUAAGAAAAAUAUGAAUGAGAGAUGCCCAAGACAGAGUAAAAUCCUUUGAUAACCAAGGUUCACUCAAAUGUUCCCAGCAGCCUUAGCCUAAAGGGAAAUAUGAUGUCUCUAAAGAAUUAAAGCUUUUCCGUGGUGCUAAAAUAUUUUGGAACAUUACACCGAGCCUGAUAUAUAGGACCAUUAAGUACAAUGAAUGUCUUCAUUGGACUGUGUAGAAAGCACAUCCAUCAUGAUAUGUAUUUCUCUAGAAACCAUGGGCGUUAGCUUUGGUCAGCUAGUGAGAGUUUCUGGUAGGUGAGAUCCUAUCAUGCCUCUAAACAAAGCCCAGUUCUUCUUAUGGCAGUUGCCAGGGCAACAGCAACAGCACCAGCACCAGAAGUGAAGGUGAGAUUUCUCUGGGCAAAGAAUGGAAGUCCCAAAAGCAGAGGGUUAAGUAACUGUAGGAAGUUUCCCAUCCUGGUGCAGAGGCAAAACCUGAGCUAAAUGAGGCUAACUCCUAGACUUAGGUGCUUAGCGGUUAGGACUUCCCUCGGCCUCCAACAUGCAGCUAUGCAAGUCCCAGGGUAUUCAUGCCUAGAGAGAGGGGGGAAAUGGCAGUGUACCACCCAAUCCAGCAGGUGGUCAUCUGGCAAAACAACUAAAGUUGGUCAACAUUUGGUGACUAUGAGUCAAUUUUCCACACAAGAAUAAUAAGCCUCUGCAUUAAACUCUUUCUGGACCAAUCUGUUCCCCUCUUUUUCCUCUAUUUGGAACACAUGCCCCCAGCAAACCAUUGUCCCCAGACUCCUCAGUAGUCACCACACGAGGAUUGUCACUGAGAUACAGAUCAUGUAUCUCGUGAAUCUGUCUUAACUGUUAUGUAUAGGCAAUUUAUAUUUAAUGGAACUGUUAAUAUGCUUGGAUUUAGGUCUACCAUUUUAUUAUGUUUUGUUUUUCCCUCGGUUUUUCUCCCUUACAUUCCUGCCUUGUUUUGGAUUAUUUGAAUAAUUUAUCUAUUCACUUUUUGGCUAUAUCUUGUGACUGGUCUAGAGAUUACACACCCAAUCUAUAUCUUGUGACUGGUCUAGAGAUUACACACCCAAUCUUUCACUUGAGUUAAUAUUUUACUUCAUGUAAGAUAUAGGAUGCGGGUACUUUAACAGAAUCAAGUCAACAUAUGUAUUACCUGUAUCCCUCCCCCCCCAAUAAGAUCUAAUGGGAAAAUAAUCAGUCUUGAAAACUGGAGAUCAAAAAUGCCAGUCCCAAUCAGCCUAUCCUUGCUUUACCUUCCAUCGCCAUACUCUUGCUCAGUGGCUGCUCUGUAAGGCAGGACUGAACUAAUAGAGUAUGCAUUCUGACUACUGUGGAAUUCAAUUUGAAUUAUUUAAAGAGGACUAGAAAAAUUCCCAAAUAUUUAGAAAUUAAUCCACACAACUAAUCAUUUUGCCAUGGUUUUAAUGAUGAUGCAUCUUUGGAAAUGUAAUAGCACUGUUAGUUAAUAGUUUGUUAAGCAACUACUGUAUGACAGGCAACAACGCACAGUGCACGCUCUCUCCUGCCAGUUAUUCAAUCUGCAAGCAAACAAUUACUCAACAACUGUCAUGUGCCUCUUUUCUGGCUCCAAAUAUAGUGUAGAACAAUAGACGUUUGCUUUGUGGGGCUUUCUAAGCUUCUUGGAGAUACAAGACAGGACACAUGUAAUAUGUAAAAAGUCACAGUCCCUAUGGGGUAAAGUAAAGCUGUAGGUGACAAAGCACUGGGGGUAGGACAGGGCAUGUUAGCUCAGAUAUAGCCAGGAGCAGCUUUUGGAGAAGGUAGCUAUUGAGCAGAGACCCUGAAGAGGGAAGGCAGCAACUGAGGAAAUAUAUUCCGGGCAGGCAUAUUGGGUCCCUGAGACAAGGCAGCGGUGGGUGUGGAGCAGCAGCACGGUGUCCAGAGUAGCUGGGGCAGGAGAUGGGUUGGGAAUGACAGCCAAGCAUCUUAAGGGCCGGGCCGCAAGAAAAUGUCCCAGUCCUCUGUUGUAGGGAGUACUUGGAUGGGGUCAAGUUUGGUGUUUGUAUUAAAGGGUUCUCAUUGCCUGGUCUGAAAUGAACUAGGGAUCCAGGGAAGCCCAAGAGGAAGCUCUUAUGGUCAUCCUGGUGAGGUCAAUGGUGGCCUACGCCUGGCCAGUGAUGGGGAGAAGUGAUCAGAUAUAGGCAGAACCCUCAUUUUGAAGGUGGAUUGGACACGGCGGGGUGAAAGAAGCAAUCUUAGUCUGCCUUCAUUCCUUAGCUUCUUCAUUUUCCAUUUAUUUACCCAACAAAGGGUUACUGAGCAGCUUCUCGGAGCCAGCUGAGCCAGGCCUUGAGAUAAGACUGCAAGCAGAAUCCAGAUGGCCUCCUUGUUCUUGCCCUCAGGAUAGAGAGGACAAUGGGGAAGAGCUCAGUAAGUCAAAUAAAAAAAUGCAACAUAAGGAAUUUCUUCUGGGAUGAAUGCUCUAAGGGAGAGUUGCUGAGAACUGGCAGAGACAAAGAAGGGGAGUAAUUGGGGAGGGAAAAGGAUGUUCUGGAAAGAAGAGGUGCUUGUGUUAGAGCAGUUAUCCUGCUGCAGAAGGCAGCUGGAGCAGAGGUGCUGAGGAGGUGCUGAGGAGGUCCAGUGCCUGUCACAGAGGACCUCAAUGGCUUCACCACAAACCACAGGAAGGGCUUCUGUCCCUGUCCCCUGAGAGGAAUGGGAUUCAUUGGAAUGUUUUAGACAGUGACGGGAACAGAUGCUUUGGUAGGAAAUGGUUUGCAAAGAGGUUGUCAGGACUGGUGUUGACAGGCACCCACUGCUGCACUUGUCCCUGGCCUCUCAGGUCAUUGCCUUCUCCCAUUUCUGACUGCCUGCCCUGACAUCUGUGUAACUUAACUUUCCACAAUGGAGAAGGGCCAAAGGACCUCUCUCUCUAUUUUGCUCUCUGUGUCAACUUGAGUAAGAGAAGCUCAACUAAAUUGCCUCAGCAAUUUCAUACCCUAGGGGGACUUGUUGCCUGGAUGGUAUAAAGGAGAAAUGACGAGGGAUGGAUUUGCUUCUGUUUCUUCAGAGGAGCUCUAGUCUUCAUCUUCACCUUGGAUGUUAUCUCCUGGCUUCCAGGUCAGACUCUUUAGGGUCUGGUGCAGAGCCUUCAGCCUUCUGGUGUAUAUUCUUCUGCCUUCCAUCGAAGACCAACUGGCUUCCUAAUACUGACUUCAAUGGGACACUGCAGUGAACUCCAGAUCUUUGACUGAAUCCUUCGGUCUCCAGUGUGUGGGGCCAUUGCUGUGGCUAUACUUGACCAUGUGGUUUAGGAGCCUUUGGAGCUGGCUUGUGGGAAGGGGAAGAGUUAGGAAAGGUUUGCAGAUGGCUGAAAACAGAGCUGGAAUGCCUGAGGCUGUACUUGAUGGGAGAUUCUGGCCAGAGCUCAGAAGACCAGAAUUCGGAUAGAAACAGGCUUAGGAGGUUUCUGCUGGGAAGAAGGCACUCCAGAUGAUGUGGGUUAUGCCUUGGGAGAAGGUUUGUCUGCAUUUUUCUGUUGUCCAGAGACUUUGCCUGAAACAGAUUUAGGGUGGCGGACUAACUAAUCUGGCAGAAGAAAUUUCACGGCAGUCUAAUGAGGCUGUGGCAUGGCUACUGUUGGGGGUUUUUAGCCCAAUUUACGUUGAGAAUCAAGAGCAAAGAGCCCAGCAGAAUGACUUAAAAUGUUAGCCCAGAAAGGAAGCUCCAGUAAAAUUUCAGCCUGCAAAGAUGAACAGAAGAGAAAUUAGUUGCUGAAAAAGAUUAGCAAGAAAAGUCAAGUAUUUCAGAAGAUGACAGAAAAGUUGGCCUAAGGGCAGCAUAAGAAGCAGGAGGACUCCACCCUUUGCAGCAUCAAAGUUGCAAAAGUGAGACUCUUUUGAGAAGAGAGACCCAGAGCUCAUGUUCCAGAAUGGCAGCAGUCUAGGAAAAUUGCUCCUCGGGAUUUGGCUCAUAGGUACUGGACCCCUAAGCCUGGCUACUGCUCCAGCUGGACCUUGGCUCAUCCACAUGGUGCUGGUUUUAGAGGCAUGCAGAAUGCAAGAGUUGUGGGGUCAGCAAGGCUUCCACCCAGAUUUCAGGAAAAGGCCUGGGAGGCCAAGCAGUGUGCCUCUGAGGGUGCAGUGUGUGAAGCCAUAGGUGCAGGAAACCAGGAAUGUGGAUCAUCUAAGGAAAGCUGCACGGAGUGAGCAAAGCCAGCCAAAGAAAGAAGCCAGAGAGCAAUAACAAGCAGCAGUGCCACAGGGGCAGACGCACCCAAGCCCUUUGGAGUUCACAACUUGCCAGACUGCCUCGGACGCUGGAAGUGAACUGUGGGAUUUAAUGUUUGCCCUGCUGGAUUUUGGUCUUGCUUUGUUCCCAUUCCUUGCUAUCCCCCUUUGUAACUUUUGGAAUGGAAAUGUCUAUCUUGUGCCCUUGAAUGUUGGACACGUUUAACUUUCUUUUCACUUGUACCAGGGCUUGCAGUUAAGAGUUUGCCUGAAAUCUCAGAGGAGACUUUGGACUUGAACUUUUCAGCAAUGCUGAAGUUGUUAGGACUUUGGCAACUCUUGGAGAUGGACUAAAUGCCUUUUGCAUAAAGGGAUAUGCAUGAGUCCUCGGGGGUCCAGGGCUGGAAUGUUAUGGCUUGCGUUUAGAUAUCACCCCAAAGCUUCAUACGGUCAUAGGUGGGGCUUUUCAGAGGUGGCUGGAUCUAGACUGUGUGAUGCUGGGAUUGAUUCAUGGUGCAAAGCUAGGCUCAAGAGCACUAGGAUUAAGGGUGUGAGUGCUACCGCCCUAAGUAGCCUGGAUAAGAUAUAAGGGAUAGAAAGAGCUGUGGUCAUCCCUGUUGCUGUUACCUUCUACCUGCCAUGAACUGUUUCUUCUCUGUGAUGCUUGUCUGUCAUGCCACCCUGCCUUGGAGCCAGCCGAUUAUAGACUGAAACCUCUACAUACUGUGAGUGAAAUAAAUCUUUCCUCCUUUAACUUUGGGUGUUGGGUAUUUUGUCUCAGCAAUGAGAAAAGUAACUAAGACACUUAGGCUUCUCAUAUAAGAGAAAUGAUGCCAUAUUUAAGGCUUAUGUGUUUGAUUGACUGUAUUUUACCAAAUAUUAUAGUCUUAUGGUACACAUCCAUUUUCCUACAAAUGACUCAAGUUUAUCCUUUAUGGCAGAGUAGUACAGUGGACCCUCAAAAGUUACAACCAGCCUGACAUACAAAAAACUUGGGUUAAUUAGGUUAAUGGAAGAUUCAUCUGCCUGUUAUCUAUAGCGUAUACCCAGGUAAAAAUCCAGAUCUCAGCUAUAUUGACUUACAACCAGCCCUUGGGAACCAAUUGAGUUCAUAAAUUAAUAAUCCACUCUACUUCAUUGUGUAUCAAUACAUUUUCCUUACCCAUUCAUCUGUUGAUGAACAUAUAGGCUGCUUCCAAGAUUUAGCUACUGUGAGCUAUGGUGCUGUAAUCAUGGGUGUGUAUAUAUCACUGUAGUAUGAUGACUCUCUCUGGAAGAUGCUUAGAAGGGAAAUAACUGAGUGGAAUGGAAUUUCAAGUUUCAGUUUUUUGAGGAAUCUCCAUGCUGACUUCCAUUAGUGGUUGUACCAGUUUACAUUCUCACCAACAGUGUAGGAAGAAUUCCUUUACCACCACCCCCCAUCAGCAUUUGUUAUUGAUUUAUUGAUGAUGGCCAUUCUUUCUGGGGCAAGAUGGAAUAUCAAUAUUAUUUUAAUUUGUAUUCCCUCUAAUGGCCAGAUACGUUGAACUCUUUCGGCUAUUUUUACUCCUUCUAAGAGGUUCUAUUCGGUUCAUUUUUUUGGUUUGUUUUUGGUUUUUUGGUACCAGGGAUCUAACUCGGGACCUUGUGCUUGCGAGGCAGGCAGUGGAACCACUGAGAUAAAUCCCUGGCUCCAGUUUCUCAUUUUGUCACAGCCUUAUACUUAAGUCAUAUCUCUGAGUGUCAUCUCUUCUCCUGGCCUGUUUCCAGUUCCUGGGGUUCCCCAUCCACCCUGGGGAACACACACAGAGCUCCAGCCACACUGCAGGCCCUUCACUGUCCUAUCCAGCUGCUCCUGUGCCAUCUCCUCCAGGAAGGGCAAUCCCCAAGCAUGUGCUGUUCUUGUGUCCUUCGCAGAAGCAGCAGCACAGAAUUUGGCACAUGGUACAGGUCCUGCCCUAGGCCAUGGGAACUUGAGGAGCUUCACCAAUGGUAGGAAUUAUUUCUAGGGAAAACAGGUGUCACAAGAGCAUAGGAUCUGGUGACAGGUGAGUGGCGUCCCCUGGCAGGCUGGCUCCUCCAUUUCAUUCUUGCAAUGUGGGUCACCUCUUCUGAUGUCCUUGCUGGGAGCUACACAAAGUCAGUUGUGAAAGUGAUGGUUUCCUUCCUGUUCUUUGGAGCAUGUCUCUCACCAUCAGGGCCAAAGGUGGGUGGGUAAGGCCUCUUCUGCACUGUUUUUGGAUUCUCUUAAGACCUGAGAAAGGGAGAGGAAAAGUUAAAAUAGGGGCUAAAUGGAAAAAUGAGGAUCUCAAACAGGAAACUUGAUGUGCUGUGGGGUUUCAUUUCUCAUGUGCAAAGCACAUUUUCUCCAACCUAUCAUUUCUGAAAUAAAUGAGCCAUGAUCAUUUAAUGCGAAUGCAUCCCAGACCUGAGUUGGGCCCUUGUAAUUUGGAAUCAAAAAUGACUGACGGGUUGACGGAAAAGUUCUGCCAAUAAAUUACAUACAUCCUGUUAGUUCAGUCUCAUACCUAAAAAUAUCUUGAAUCUAAAGAGAAGCUGGCAGAGGCUAUAGAUUGACAGAAAAAAAAAUUCAACCAUAAAACCUAAGCAAAAUUAUAUCCACAUUCCCCAAGCUGUAGUUAAAAUUAAUUUGUUUUGAGACCAAAGUCAAAUAUGCCAGUACAUCGUGUAAUUCAUUGAAUUUG
This 21112-nucleotide long non-coding RNA is filed under the name Heterocephalus glaber (naked mole-rat). RNAcentral's name for it is "lncRNA (ENSHGLG00100045597.1)". The record is from RNAcentral. Lineage: Eukaryota; Metazoa; Chordata; Mammalia; Rodentia; Bathyergidae.